This is a long non-coding RNA of Sinocyclocheilus grahami, 362 nucleotides long. RefSeq lists it as uncharacterized. Lineage: Eukaryota; Metazoa; Chordata; Actinopteri; Cypriniformes; Cyprinidae. The record is from RefSeq and is a predicted model, not a curated record. The transcript has 3 exons.
CACAGAAUAACAGACCAGGACUACCUGGGCCUAAAGGAGCCAAAGGUCACAGAGGAUCUGAAGGAAAUUCUGGACCACCAGGACCACCUGGGCCACAAGGAGCUGAUGAAUGUGAGAUUCUGGAUAUCAUCAUGAAGAUGUGCUGUGAGUAGACCUGUUUUUGUAUUUAACCAUGACUCACUUCUCAGUUUCACUGCCUCCAUAAAUGGCGUAGGCCUACUGCCUGUCACCCACACUGAUUUAACAACAUAACGUCAGCUCAUGCCAUGAAGUGAUGAUGCACAAUAUUGAUGUUCACAAUACUCUGCAGACCAGUAGAAAACAUGCAAAAAGUUGGGUAAGGCAUGAGAGAAAUUUGAAAA